This 274-nucleotide ribosomal RNA is filed under the name uncultured bacterium. RNAcentral's name for it is "partial 16S ribosomal RNA". It matches the Rfam family "Bacterial small subunit ribosomal RNA", at positions 523 to 796 of the family's 1533-position model. The record is from RNAcentral.
AUACGGAGGGAGCUAGCGUUGUUCGGAUUUACUGGGCGUAAAGCGCGCGUAGGCGGAUUGGCAAGUUGGGGGUGAAAUCCCGGGGCUUAACCCCGGAACUGCCCUCAAAACUGCUGAUCUAGAGACCGGGAGAGGUAAGCGGAAUUCCUAGUGUAGAGGUGAAAUUCGUAGAUAUUAGGAAGAACACCAGUGGCGAAGGCGGCUUACUGGACCGGUACUGACGCUAAGGUGCGAAAGCGUGGGGAGCAAACAGGAUUAGAAACCCCAGUAGUCC